Molecule: long non-coding RNA, 4655 nt
Organism: Cynoglossus semilaevis (tongue sole)
Lineage: Eukaryota; Metazoa; Chordata; Actinopteri; Pleuronectiformes; Cynoglossidae
Exons: 8
Source: RefSeq, a predicted model, not a curated record
ACAAAAACAACAGUCAAAAACAAUUCAGCAGGUGAUGCAGAAAUAUCCAUUUAGCAAAGAAUAAACCAUAACAUGAUUUUAAAUGCCUGACCGAGGACUUUGCUUCACUGAAAUUCCAUGUAAAAUAAUAAACAAGUUUGGGGCAAGAAUGUUGCCACAAGAAGAUUGAAUUGGUGAUUUAUCUUUUUCACUCUUUUUCAGCAAGGCACAUAUUUCACGAGAAAAAUCCCAUGAGGCACCACCAAACCAAAAUGUCACACAAAAGACGUUCAAAUCCACACGAUGAGGCAAACACAGAAGUGGACUCCUUUAUAGUCAACAAUGGAUGAUACAUUCACCUGAAAUGAUCUCCUGAGGCUGACUUUGCCCUAAGGCACCUGAGGGCAGCGCUCUGUCAGGCACUGACUUCAGAGGUUGAGGAGGAGAAAUGCCCUCAUCACGUGAUUAAUACUUCACUCUGCCACACUAGUCCUACUACAAGAACAGGCCAAACUACAGCAGCAACAAUCCAAAACAUCUGUCAGUACGACGACAGCCGCACCACAGCCAGUGAGCGCACACUUUAAGGCUACAUACAAGGAUCGCACACAGUGAGUACAGGCUUAGGGGAACAACUUGUGAAACAAACAUGGAAUUCUCAGUGGAAAACCACAUGGGCUUCAUUAAAUCCAGGGUCAUGACAUCCUUCAUUAACAGUCCAGAUGUUAUCAGCUCAUCCUGUUGACACCAUUCAGAGAGAGCAAUGGUUUAUCUGUGUCGGGGAGGAGGAAGUUUGGUUACUGUGUAAGGGGGAAACUGCCAAACGCUCUGUGUGUGUGUGUGUGUGUGUGUGUGUGUGUGUGUGUGUGUGAGAGAGAGAGAGAGAGUGGGUCUGUGUGUAUUUUCAGUUAUCUCUCAGGGACCUUUUCUGGUAUGAAAACUGACAUUAUUGAGGUCCAGUUGACCUGAUGGUUACCACAACCAGGCCACAGGCUCAUGUCAACCCUAACUAAUGGCAUCGCAAAGCUCUUGCGAGACAAGAGGGAACAAUUAAAAAUGGAAAAUAAAAUUUAUAUAUAUAAAAGGCCUGAUUUUGCUCUUGCAACAUAAUAAAAAAACACACAAAAUAUAUCCUCAAUAGUUACCUAAUUACAGAACUAAAGGAAACUGAGCAGAUAAGUUUUUGGUUUUUUAAAUAGCGGUUUUCUGUGUUUAUAUAUAUAUAUAUAUAAUAACACAGUAAAAUGCAACUACUAAUGUUAUUAAGCAUAACAAAUGUGUUCAGGUGUAACUAUUUCACAGCGAUGACCAAUGUUUUUAAAAAAGGCCGUCAGUUUUGGGAUAUGUUGGAGGAGUGCAGCUCCACACGAGAUGAACUGAGUAACUGUAUUUACCGCAGCUAAAAGGGGAAGGUACAGAUAAAAAUCUGAAAAAUGCCUAAAUAAAAGCCUAAAAUAUACUGUUGACGAUAUCUCUCUAUUUUUUAUAGAGAUAAAGUCAACCGUGUUAUUGUUUGGGAGAGAGGGGGAGGAGGAGGGAGGGGAGGUGCGUUCAUUUCAACCCAGUUGUUUGUUGUCUACCAUCAUAGGUCUAUGGUCAUGUUUUUUUAAGCCCUCUUUUUAUUAUUACGUAGGCACUUGAGCUACUUUUAGACAUCAGGUGAGCCACAGACAUAACGCGAUAUAUGUUUAUGAUUCCAAACAACUCUGUCUGACGUCACUGACGUCCUCAGAGCUCGUCUGUGGAUCAUAAUAUUGGACCCAGACGGUAUUUUGUAUUGAACUGUGUAUGUAAUCAUUUCUAUGACAGAGAAGAAGACACAGAGUAAGAUGACAUUUCUGAGCAGGGCGAAGAUGGGACAGAGAGAGAGGGGGAGAGACAGACAGAGAGAGAGAGAGAGAGAGACCAGGUUCAAACCAUGUGGGAAUAGAAACUCCCCCAACUGUUACCUGUCUAACAGCUUACAAAAGUCAACCAUCGAAACGCCGUCUGUUUGCGGGGUCAGCAAGUUCACAUGACUAAAGCAAGAAGUUGGCGUCCAAAUGAAGAAGUUCUAACACGCAGACAAACACAAAAUUAAAAAAACUUGGACGUGCACUUUAAUUUCUUAGUUUUCUAUUUUUUUAAAUUUAUUUAUUUAUUUUCUGUCAGCUUUUGUUUUUACAGGUUGUUUUGUUUUUCGGCGCGUCUUUAACAUAAUCCAUGCGAAACUGAUUAGGUAACAGAGCAGCCGUCAAAGCGAGAGUAAACACCAAAAAAAAAAAAAAAAGUCAGCCGUUUCUCCUCUGUGGAGACUCUGCUCCCUGGAUCUAAUCAUUAAACACUAUUAGGAAAGCAAACAAACACCAGAGUCACUUUAGGACCUGAAGUCCUGUCUUUGUCAACAUGUCUGUAGUUCAUUUAAAAACACGCACAGACAUUAAAGAAUACAACUCACCUCGUAGCCUUGAUGCUCAUGAGUGCUCUCUCCAUGUACAGCAGCAGCAGCAGCAGCUUCUUCUGCUUAAAGGAAACGGACAGUUGUUGCCGCCUGGCAGCGGAAGUCUGACCGGUUGCGCCGAAAAUCCCACGGUACGAGGAGAAGGAGGCCAGAGAGGGAGGUGAGAGCAACUCAUCCGAGCUCCACGCGGCUUUUGGAGAAGUUAACUGAGUGGAGAACUAAGACAAAAGGCAGAAGGGGAGGAGGAGGAGGAAGAGGAGGAGGAUUUUCUUUGAUCAACAGGCGGAGUCAAACAGUCGUCUGGUUGUCUCUCUAUCUGCAGCCUGUUUCUACUCAUGUGAUGUUUUUCCUGCGGCUCACUUUCUCUUCCUUCUUUUAUUGUCUGUGACCAGAACUGCCAAGGCAGUAAAAGUCAAACUGAAAGCCUAAUAACUCAUUCUUUAACUCCUGUUCCCCAAACAUCAGAGUUCACAGUUCUUCAGGGAGCAGACGUGACAGCCAGAUGAACUCACUGAAACAACAACAACAACAUCAUCAUCAGGCUCUCCUCACCUUUGAGAUGGAGUCUAAUUUGUGCAUCCCGUGGGUCUGACACCGUUUAGUCUAGACAAGUCAGUGGCUUCCUUCAGUCCCUGUGGCCUCACAGGUAAAGGAGCUGUUCCACCAGGGGUUUGACUGAAGAAGAAGAGGAGGAGGAGGCAGCCGCUCUUCUCCGACUGAGCGCAUUUCCCUCAUUUCCAGUUACCAUGGCGUUUAGCCAACACUCAAGGAGGUGUUUACCACUUAUAAACAAGUUGUGCUGACAGAGGUGAUCUCUCAGGACGCGCUGUCUGACGAAACCCUUCCCAGAAGUCAGGAACUACCUGUAGAACCUGGAGACUGUACCUGUUGCAUCAGACACGUGAGGAGCCCAAGAGAUCCUAAAAGACGACAAAACGUGGAGUGAUCAAAAGAAACGCAGUGGUGGAACCCACAGGCAACGGUCGCCGCAUAUGCAGCAAUUGUUAUAUCUUUAUAUCAGUAGUGAGAAGAUGGUGUUUACUCCCAUUAUCCCCGGACACAUGGGUCGCACUCUCCCCCACAGCGACACUCCCAUCCUCCCUCUCUGGCUGAUGUAAUGCACCUCUGGCCUCAUUUGCAGAAAUCUGCGUCAGCCAAUAGCUGCAGGACAAAUUAUGGCUCAGGGAAACAUGCUUUUCAGCUGUGGAGCCACUCACACAACUCCACGUCCUGCAAAUGCAACAAGUUAUCCCACAGAUGUCAGAAGAGAUUUGUGGCUGGAUUUGUGAAAAGGUGUCCAAAUGGCGAGUGUUUUAGUAGUUGCCGACCUUUGCCCUGGACGGUUCACCAGCUCAUCACAGCGCCACGUAUGGAGACACAAUCCUAGAAAGAGGUCGAAAUAACCAGUCCUCUCCUAUUGACGUCCAUCUCUACUCAGACGACUCAUCUGGUUUGUGAAGGUACUGUCUGACAGCACUGACGAUGGUGGACACCUCUGCCAUGCCACCUUUACCUGCAAACAAAGACAUUUAUGAGAGUUCUUUUAGACCAAGGCCAGUCCAGAGAAAUCUGCAUUUCAGAAAACGACACUACUUGAUUACACAGUGUACAAAAACAAAUGUUGUUGUAACAAUUUCCUGUUAGAAAAUCUUUGGGAGAUCAUGAUUUGAAUGAACAAUAUUCAUCCAAAAUGCACAAAUGUGGGCCUGAUCUGGCCGUGUCCCAUAAUCAUGAAGUAGUCAGUGAUUUCUAAAAUUCAUCCAAGGUUUUUUUGUAAAAGUGAAGUCACGUCAGUCUAAGUCAUUAGGCCACGUCAAACAGGUGAGCACCCAGGACUUUGGCCAAUAAUCAGAUAUGACAGGGCGGUAACCACAGCUGUGGUGACACACCCACACGUUUGGCUCCAAGGAUAUGGUGCCAACUGCCAAGUAACAGUUGCAGGCACUAAACACUGACUCUAAGUGACCUAAUUAUUUCCAAUUAACCUUAGAGUACAUUCAGGGCAUUGACAAACCCACUGGGCAGGUUGUCAACAUGGCAGUGUACGCCUUUUGUAAUCAUGUGUUAUUUUCACAGAGGUUACUCCCUUUAUUUAGCAGAUGCGAUCAUUCCCUGUAACUGCUUUAUGACUGACAUCUGACUAACUUCCUGUGACACCUGUCUGUACAUGCUGGCCUCUUUGUAUUACAAUGAGUAGUAGUAGUAUGAUAUUAUAAACAUUUUUUCUUCAGGCGUA